GAUGAACGCUAGCGGGAGGCUUAACACAUGCAAGUCGAGGGGUAAAUGGCAGCAAUGCUAUGAGACCGGCGAACGGGUGCGUAACGCGUAUGCAACUUACCUUAUGCAGGGGGAUAGCCCGUGGAAACGCGGAUUAAUAUCCCAUAGAUCAGUGGUAUCGCAUGGUACAGCUGGUAAAGCUCAGGUGGCAUAAGAUGGGCAUGCGUCUGAUUAGCUGGUUGGUAGGGUAACGGCCUACCAAGGCGACGAUCAGUAGGGGUUCUGAGAGGACUUAACCCCCACACUGGUACUGAGACACGGACCAGACUCCUACGGGAGGCAGCAGUGAGG
This 330-nucleotide ribosomal RNA is filed under the name uncultured bacterium. Its description in RNAcentral is "bacterial SSU rRNA". It matches the Rfam family "Bacterial small subunit ribosomal RNA", at positions 28 to 359 of the family's 1533-position model. The record is from RNAcentral.